AUGAAAGUACGUUUUCACCUUCGGGAGACAGGGAGACAGGUGGUGCAUGGUUGUCGUCAGCUCGUGUCGUGAGAUGUUGGGUUAAGUCCCGCAACGAGCGCAACCCCUACGUUUAGUUGCUAACGCGUGAAGGCGAGCACUCUAGACGAACUGCCGUUGACAAAACGGAGGAAGGUGGGAUGACGUCAAUCAUCAUGCCCCUUAUGUUCUGGGCUACACACGUGCUACAAUGGCCGGUACAGACGGACGCAAAGCCGCGAGGCGGAGCAAAUCCGAAAAAGCCGGUCUCAGUUCGGAUUGCAGGCUGCAAUUCGCCUGCAUGAAGUCGGAAUCGCUAGUAAUCGCAGGUCAGCAUACUGCGGUGAAUACGUUCCCGGCCUU
RNAcentral lists this ribosomal RNA (381 nucleotides) under uncultured Pelotomaculum sp. RNAcentral describes it as "bacterial SSU rRNA". It matches the Rfam family "Bacterial small subunit ribosomal RNA", at positions 1001 to 1381 of the family's 1533-position model. Lineage: Bacteria; Bacillati; Bacillota; Clostridia; Eubacteriales; Desulfotomaculaceae. The record is from RNAcentral.